RNAcentral lists this ribosomal RNA (392 nucleotides) under uncultured bacterium. RNAcentral's name for it is "partial 16S ribosomal RNA". It matches the Rfam family "Bacterial small subunit ribosomal RNA", at positions 523 to 917 of the family's 1533-position model. The record is from RNAcentral.
AUACGGAGGAUGCAAGCGUUAUCCGGAUUUAUUGGGUUUAAAGGGUGCGUAGGCGGUUUGCUAAGCGGGAGGUGAAAUGCCGGCGCUCAACGUCGGAAGUGCCUCCCGAACUGGUGGACUUGAAUGACUCUGCCGUGGGAGGAAUGUGUAGUGUAGCGGUGAAAUGCUUAGAGAUUACACAGAACACCGAUUGCGAAGGCAUCUCACGAAGGGUUGAUUGACGCUGAGGCACGAAAGCGUGGGGAUCAAACAGGAUUAGAUACCCUGGUAGUCCACGCAGUAAACGAUGAUGGCUAACCGCUGGGCUUAUGAGUUCAGUGGCCAAGCGAAAGCGAUAAGCCAUCCACCUGGGGAGUACGACCGCAAGGUUGAAACUUAAAUGAAUUGGCGGG